ACAAAGCAUCAUAUCACUUGAAAAAGAAGGAAAGUACCUCUGAAAUGCAUAUGGAGGAUGCUGCCCCAUCCAAAUGUCUCCUCCUCACUGUGUGAGUGCUCUAACCAAUGUGGGCAGGUUAGAAAGCACUGUGAAGCAUCCCUUUUGGAAACCGGGGCUGUUAUUUGCUUUGAUGGAACAAAAUGGAGAAAGUAACAUCCAUAAGGAAAUAUAUGAAGGCCUAACCUGCCCUGUGUUCAAGUACUUCAUAAUGUAGGAGCUGCUGUUGUCUCAGAACAACUAAAAUACAGACCAUAAAAAUUCAGGCAAGGGAAGACUGGGGAAGGCAAUGAGGAAAAAUGUUUGAUUUAGAGAUAAAAGAUAAAUUUAUCUGUGAUCUUGGAUGUUUGUAGUAAUUUCCAAUCUCAGAAAUUUGUGCCAAAUGGUCAGUUCAGCAGUAGUUGACUUACUCACCCUGAGGACUACCAGCAAAGUACAAUCAAUUCCAGAAAUCAUAUAAAAUUGAGGUUGUUCCCAUGAAGGAAUGGGGUUCGUGGGGGCUACCCUGGGCACCUUGCAGAGAAAGAGCAGUCACAGGUGAAAGACAUAUCUCACUGAUUCUCAGUUUAUUUUUUCCAUUUUAUUAAGAAACUCAAAAACAAAACAAACCCACACUGUUAUACAAAAACCUUUUGAGCUCCAGGCAGGAAUACAGUUUUCUUGUAGCAACUCUUCUUACUUUAUCUCCUCUUCCCACAGCCAGUGAAGUAACAAAUAAAUGUGCAUCUGCCAUGUUACA
RNAcentral lists this long non-coding RNA (778 nucleotides) under Anas platyrhynchos platyrhynchos (common mallard). Its description in RNAcentral is "lncRNA (ENSAPLG00000028025.1)". The record is from RNAcentral. Lineage: Eukaryota; Metazoa; Chordata; Aves; Anseriformes; Anatidae.